GCGGUACCGGUUCACGUCUCCCACAACUCCCAUGGGCUUCCCCAUGCGAGCCUGGAGGCGCCCGGCGACC
Actinomadura madurae is the source of this 70-nucleotide regulatory RNA element. It matches the Rfam family "L31-Actinobacteria ribosomal protein leader". The record is from Rfam. NCBI's taxonomy places the organism in Bacteria, Bacillati, Actinomycetota, Actinomycetes, Streptosporangiales, Thermomonosporaceae.